Molecule: RNA transcript, 574 nt
Organism: Otolemur garnettii (small-eared galago)
Lineage: Eukaryota; Metazoa; Chordata; Mammalia; Primates; Galagidae
Gene name: coiled-coil-helix-coiled-coil-helix domain-containing protein 2 pseudogene
Exons: 1
Source: RefSeq, a predicted model, not a curated record
UUGCAAUGCUGCGUGGAAGCCGAAGCCACACCUCCCACAUGGCCCCUCCGGCCAGCCGGGCACCUCAGAUGAGAACUGCACCCAGGCCAGCACCAGCAGCUCAGCCACCAGCAGCAGCCCCAACAUAUGCAGUUGGCUCACCUACUGCUGCACCCUGGCAGCCUGGUCUGAUGGCCCAAAUGGCUGCUACUGCAGCUGGUGUGGCUGUGGGCUCUGUAGUUGGGCACACUCUGGGUUAUGCCACCACUGGGGGCUUCAGUGGAGGAUGUAAUGCUGAGCCCUCAAACCCUGACAUCACUUACCAGGAGCCUCUUGGAAGCCAGCCAGCACAGCAGCAGCAGGUUGGCCCUUGCUUCUGUGAGAUGAAAUGGCUUUUGGAAUGUGCCCAGAACCAGACUGAUAAAAAGCUAUGUGAGGGAUUCAAUGAGGUGCUGAAACAAUGCAAACUUGCAAAUAGAUUAUCCUAAUCAAGAAAUACAAAUUGAAGAAAAGGAAAAUCACCUUUCAAGACCAAGUUAAUUUAGCAUAAAAAUGUAAUUGAUAAUGAAAGUAUAAAGGGUAAAACCAUCAGUUA